RNAcentral lists this ribosomal RNA (493 nucleotides) under uncultured bacterium. Its description in RNAcentral is "partial 16S ribosomal RNA". It matches the Rfam family "Bacterial small subunit ribosomal RNA", at positions 28 to 503 of the family's 1533-position model. The record is from RNAcentral.
GAUGAACGCUGGCGGCGUGCCUAAUACAUGCAAGUCGAGCGAACAGACGAGGAGCUUGCUCCUCUGACGCUAGCGGCGGACGGGUGAGUAACACGUGGAUAACCUACCUAUAAGACUGGGAUAACUUCGGGAAACCGGAGCUAAUACCGGAUAAUAUAUUGAACCGCAUGGUUCAAUAGUGAAAGACGGUUUUGCUGUCACUUAUAGAUGGAUCCGCGCCGCAUUAGCUAGUUGGCAAGGUAACGGCUUACCAAGGCAACGAUGCGUAGCCGACCUGAGAGGGUGAUCGGCCACACUGGAACGGUGACACGGUCCAGACGCCUACGGGAGGCAGCAGUAGGGAAUCUUCCGCAAUGGGCGAAAGCCUGACGGAGCAACGCCGCGUGAGUGAUGAAGGUCUUCGGAUCGUAAAACUCUGUUAUUAGGGAAGAACAAAUGUGUAAGUAACUAUGCACGUCUUGACGGUACCUAAGCAGAAAGCCACGGCUAACUA